Molecule: long non-coding RNA, 379 nt
Filed under: Homo sapiens (human)
Lineage: Eukaryota; Metazoa; Chordata; Mammalia; Primates; Hominidae
Description: non-protein coding lnc-TUBA3C-16:3
Source: RNAcentral
AAAAAGAUGAUACUUAAAAAUGACAAACCAGAUGUUGGAAGUUCUGAUGAAUCUGCAGUCAGCAUUUUCCAUGAACUGUGUGUGGAUUCAUUGCCUGCAUUAGAUGACGAAGUCUUGAGUGUUGCUGCUAAGUGUGUCCCCGAGAAAGUGUCAGAGCCUUUAUGUGGACCUUCCCAUGGAAAAGGAAAACAGAAUAGUCAAUGGAAAAGGAGAAGGGCCUCCUGCAAAACAUCCUUCCUUGAAGCCUAGCACUGAAAUGGAAGAUCCUGCUGUGAAAGGAGCAGUACAAAGAAAGAAUGUACAGACAUUGAGAGCAGAACAAGCCUUACCAGUGGCUUCAGAGGAAGAGCAACAAAGACGUGAAAGAAGUGAAAAGAAG